RNAcentral lists this long non-coding RNA (890 nucleotides) under Olea europaea (common olive). RNAcentral describes it as "long non-coding RNA (OEUR_LNC000752)". The record is from RNAcentral. Lineage: Eukaryota; Viridiplantae; Streptophyta; Magnoliopsida; Lamiales; Oleaceae.
AAGAUUCAAAUGCAUAUAUCAACAGCAUAACAUCAUUAAAGUUGUAAUAAAGACAUGAAACUUCAACCGAAUAUUUGGUGAACACAGCGCAAGAAAAAUCAGCUUGAAGAUGCAUACAUGCAGCAUUUUUGUGAAGUUUACAACUACAAUUCCAGCCAACACUUAAUUUAUACUACAUCUACAUAUCACAACUAGAUAAAUUUUGUGCCUAACUCCAUGGUGUGAUGCAAUCAUUGGGUUCCUCCAAUAUACCGACCUCCGGCACUCGCGCACCAUCUUUUUCUAUGAUUUCAUCAUCCAAUAAUUUCACACUCUCAAACUCAGAUUCUACCAAAAUAAUGUCAUCCACAUCGUCCAAAAUAUCUUACCCUGCACCAAAAAUCAGAUACAAUGUUAAUGCUAAUGCUGUGAUCUCUAAUUGAUAGAAUACACUCAUUCCAAGUUAUAUAAAACAUUUUGGGCACAAGAGACAAGUGGUGGGUAUGAAUCUAUUUCUAAGCAUCAACAACUCAAGAUAACCAACGCGAAGUGAUGAAUCAAAAUCAACAUUUAUCACGAAAAAUUUAGUUAUGCAUCUACACUGUACAAAGAAAAAAGGCACCAUUUCCGUCCUUCAGAGUUGGGCAAAUCGUUAUUUUUAGGUUUUAUGCAAAUUCACACAAACAAAGCAAGACCCAACCGAGCCUGACAAACACAUUAGUGUGUAUCAGAAAAAUUUACUGUAGGAAUAGUUCAAAUAACAAACAGGAAAAUAAGGUGGGCGUAUUAACACAUUGCAUUUUGGACAUAAUUACAAACUACCCAUUACCUUUGUCCAUCAUCUCUUAGAUUAACUCAAGAAAAAGAUGGCAGCGCCGGAGCAAAGGUCGGACGAUUGUAGUGAAAAUUUU